Long non-coding RNA from Ooceraea biroi (clonal raider ant), 409 nucleotides. RefSeq lists it as uncharacterized. The record is from RefSeq and is a predicted model, not a curated record. Lineage: Eukaryota; Metazoa; Arthropoda; Insecta; Hymenoptera; Formicidae.
AUGGGCUUUAUGUUCCUCGUGGCCUUGGCGAAUUCGCUCAUGGCCUCACUGGUAUCGAGAAGAACGACAAACAACGGUCGCACAAUGCUUUCAGCUCGCCGCAUAAAGAUGCAGUGCAAAUUUUAAACUUGUGAAACCGGGAUAAUAUGAGAACAGAGUUGGAAAAAAGCAGACGGAAAAAGAUGGUUUCUCGGUAUCGAUACGUCGAUGCUAAUUAGCUGCUCGUAACAUUAAAUAUGCAGGAAAGCAAAUGGACUCUGCAAUUGGAUUUCAUAUAGAAGAGAAUGACAGAUAUAAAGAAAGAUAGACUUCAAAGAUCUAUGUUCUAACGUACUCAAGCACAUAGAAUAUUACCUUUACGUCACAAUCUGAUAUUGAAGAGACAUUGAAGAAGUGGAUUUUCAAGGAU